AGAGUUUGAUCAUGGCUCAGAUUGAACGCUGGCGGCAGGCCUAACACAUGCAAGUCGAGCGGUAACAGAUCUAGCUUGCUAGAUGCUGGCGAGCGGCGGACGGGGGAGUAACGCGUAGGAAUUUGCCUAGUAGUGGGGGAUAGCAGUUGGAAACGACUGCUAAUACCGCAUAACGUCUACGGACCAAAGGGGGGGAUCUUAGGACCUUGCGCUAUUAGAUAAGCCUGCGUGGGAUUAGCUAGUUGGUGAGGUAAAGGCUCACCAAGGCGACGAUCUCUAGCUGGUCUGAGAGGAUGAUCAGCCACACUGGAACUGAGACACGGUCCAGACUCCUACGGGAGGCAGCAGUGGGGAAUAUUGGACAAUGGGGGCAACCCUGAUCCAGCCAUGCCGCGUGUGUGAAGAAGGCCUUAGGGUUGUAAAGCACUUUCAGUAGGGAGGAAAAGUUAGUCGUUAAUAACGGCUAGCCGUGACGUUACCUACAGAAGAAGCACCGGCAAACUCCGUGCCAGCAGCCGCGGUAAUACGGAGGGUGCGAGCGUUAAUCGGAAUUACUGGGCGUAAAGCGCGCGUAGGCGGCCUGAUAAGUUGGAUGUGAAAGCCCUGGGCUCAACCUGGGAACUGCAUUCAAAACUGGCUAACUAGAGUACGAUAGAGGGGGGUAGAAUUUCAGGUGUAGCGGUGAAAUGCGUAGAUAUCUGAAGGAACACCAGUGGCGAAGGCGGCCACCUGGACCAAUACUGACGCUGAGGUGCGAAAGCGUGGGUAGCAAACGGGAUUAGAUACCCCGGUAGUCCACGCAGUAAACGAUGUCUAUUAGAAGUUUGUGGCUAUAUGCCGUGGGUUUCAAAGCUAACGCAUUAAAUAGACCGCCUGGGGAGUACGGCCGCAAGGUUAAAACUCAAAUGAAUUGACGGGGGCCCGCACAAGCGGUGGAGCAUGUGGUUUAAUUCGAUGCAACGCGAAGAACCUUACCUGGUCUUGACAUCCUACGAACUUACUAGAGAUAGUUUGGUGCCUUCGGGAACGUAGUGACAGGUGCUGCAUGGCUGUCGUCAGCUCGUGUUGUGAAAUGUUGGGUUAAGUCCCGUAACGAGCGCAACCCUUAUCCUUAUUUGCCAGCACGUAAUGGUGGGAACUCUAGGGAGACUGCCGGUGACAAACCGGAGGAAGGUGGGGACGACGUCAAGUCAUCAUGGCCCUUAUGACCAGGGCUACACACGUGCUACAAUGGAUAUUACAGAGGGCAGCAAUACCGCGAGGUGGAGCGAAACUCAGAAAGGUAUUCUUAGUCCGGAUUGCAGUCUGCAACUCGACUGCAUGAAGUCGGAAUCGCUAGUAAUCGCGAAUCAGAAUGUCGCGGUGAAUACGUUCCCGGGUCUUGUACACACCGCCCGUCACACCAUGGGAGUGGGUUGCUCCAGAAGUAGAUAGCUUAACCCUUCGGGGAGGGCGUUUACCACGGAGUGAUUCAUGACUGGGGUGAAGUCGUAACAAGGUA
RNAcentral lists this ribosomal RNA (1501 nucleotides) under uncultured prokaryote. RNAcentral describes it as "partial 16S ribosomal RNA". It matches the Rfam family "Bacterial small subunit ribosomal RNA". The record is from RNAcentral.